CCUACGGGUGGCAGCAGUGGGGAAUAUUGCACAAUGGGGGAAACCCUGAUGCAGCGACGCCGCGUGAGUGAAGAAGUAAUUCGGUAUGUAAAGCUCUAUCAGCAGGGAAGAAAAUGACGGUACCUGAGUAAGAAGCCCCGGCUAACUACGUGCCAGCAGCCGCGGUAAUACGUAGGGGGCAAGCGGUAUCCGGAUUUACUGGGUGUAAAGGGAGCGUAGACGGCAGUGCAAGUCUGGAGUGAAAGGCGGGGGCUCAACCCCCGGACUGCUCUGGAAACUGUACGGCUGGAGUGCAGGAGAGGUAAGUGGAAUGCCUAGUGUAGCGGUGAAAUGCGUAGAUAUUAGGAGGAACACCAGUGGCGAAGGCAGCUUACUGGACUGUAACUGACGUUGAGGCUCGAAAGCGUGGGGAGCAAACAGGAUUAGAUACCCUUGUAGUC
Molecule: ribosomal RNA, 440 nt
Filed under: uncultured bacterium
Lineage: Bacteria
Description: partial 16S ribosomal RNA
Rfam family: Bacterial small subunit ribosomal RNA
Source: RNAcentral